Long non-coding RNA from Hippocampus zosterae (dwarf seahorse), 262 nucleotides. RefSeq lists it as uncharacterized. Lineage: Eukaryota; Metazoa; Chordata; Actinopteri; Syngnathiformes; Syngnathidae. The transcript has 3 exons. The record is from RefSeq and is a predicted model, not a curated record.
CUCAGUUCUUCUCUGCUCCUCGUGCUCUCCUGGAGUAGCGCCUCGGUCUCGGUCCUCUCUGUCUGUCCUUUGCUCUGAAAGGAAAGAUCCAUGACGGCAAGUACAAAUCACUGAAAGGGGUCAAAGUGCAAGCUUGCUCCUGUGGACUGAGGGUGUUCAGUGUAUUUGGGGAAAUAACACUGCAUCACUAAUCUGGAAGCAAGGUGAUGCUCGCUUCAGGAUGCCUUACAAUCCUGAAACAACGUCACCAGUGACCACCACC